Molecule: ribosomal RNA, 2825 nt
Filed under: Yersinia pseudotuberculosis B-7195
Lineage: Bacteria; Pseudomonadati; Pseudomonadota; Gammaproteobacteria; Enterobacterales; Yersiniaceae
Description: bacterial LSU rRNA
Rfam family: Bacterial large subunit ribosomal RNA
Source: RNAcentral
AGCGUACACGGUGGAUGCCUAGGCAGUCAGAGGCGAUGAAGGGCGUGCUAAUCUGCGAAAAGCGUCGGUAAGCUGAUAUGAAGCGUUAUAACCGACGAUACCCGAAUGGGGAAACCCAGUGCAAUACGUUGCACUAUCGUUAGAUGAAUACAUAGUCUAACGAGGCGAACCGGGGGAACUGAAACAUCUAAGUACCCCGAGGAAAAGAAAUCAACCGAGAUUCCCCCAGUAGCGGCGAGCGAACGGGGAGGAGCCCAGAGUCUGAAUCAGUUUGUGUGUUAGUGGAAGCGUCUGGAAAGUCGCACGGUACAGGGUGAUAGUCCCGUACACCAAAAUGCACAGGCUGUGAACUCGAUGAGUAGGGCGGGACACGUGACAUCCUGUCUGAAUAUGGGGGGACCAUCCUCCAAGGCUAAAUACUCCUGACUGACCGAUAGUGAACCAGUACCGUGAGGGAAAGGCGAAAAGAACCCCGGCGAGGGGAGUGAAAUAGAACCUGAAACCGUGUACGUACAAGCAGUGGGAGCACCUUCGUGGUGUGACUGCGUACCUUUUGUAUAAUGGGUCAGCGACUUAUAUUUUGUAGCAAGGUUAACCGAAUAGGGGAGCCGUAGGGAAACCGAGUCUUAACUGGGCGUCUAGUUGCAAGGUAUAGACCCGAAACCCGGUGAUCUAGCCAUGGGCAGGUUGAAGGUUGGGUAACACUAACUGGAGGACCGAACCGACUAAUGUUGAAAAAUUAGCGGAUGACUUGUGGCUGGGGGUGAAAGGCCAAUCAAACCGGGAGAUAGCUGGUUCUCCCCGAAAGCUAUUUAGGUAGCGCCUCGUGAACUCAUCUUCGGGGGUAGAGCACUGUUUCGGCUAGGGGGCCAUCCCGGCUUACCAAACCGAUGCAAACUCCGAAUACCGAAGAAUGUUAUCACGGGAGACACACGGCGGGUGCUAACGUCCGUCGUGAAGAGGGAAACAACCCAGACCGCCAGCUAAGGUCCCAAAGUCAUGGUUAAGUGGGAAACGAUGUGGGAAGGCACAGACAGCCAGGAUGUUGGCUUAGAAGCAGCCAUCAUUUAAAGAAAGCGUAAUAGCUCACUGGUCGAGUCGGCCUGCGCGGAAGAUGUAACGGGGCUAAACCAUGCACCGAAGCUGCGGCAGCGACACUUAGGUGUUGUUGGGUAGGGGAGCGUUCUGUAAGCCGUUGAAGGUGACCUGUGAGGGUUGCUGGAGGUAUCAGAAGUGCGAAUGCUGACAUAAGUAACGAUAAUGCGGGUGAAAAACCCGCACGCCGGAAGACCAAGGGUUCCUGUCCAACGUUAAUCGGGGCAGGGUGAGUCGACCCCUAAGGCGAGGCUGAAAAGCGUAGUCGAUGGGAAACAGGUUAAUAUUCCUGUACUUGGUGUUACUGCGAAGGGGGGACGGAGAAGGCUAGGCUGGCCGGGCGACGGUUGUCCCGGUUUAAGCGUGUAGGGGGAGUGACCAGGUAAAUCCGGUUGCUUAUCAACCCUGAGGCGUGAUGACGAUGCACUACGGUGCAGAAGCAGUUGAUGCCAUGCUUCCAGGAAAAGCCUCUAAGCAUCAGGUAACAUUAAAUCGUACCCCAAACCGACACAGGUGGUCAGGUAGAGAAUACUCAGGCGCUUGAGAGAACUCGGGUGAAGGAACUAGGCAAAAUGGUGCCGUAACUUCGGGAGAAGGCACGCUGGCGUUAGGUGAAAGGACUAGCUCCUGGAGCUGAAGCCAGUCGCAGAUACCAGCUGGCUGCAACUGUUUAAUAAAAACACAGCACUGUGCAAACACGAAAGUGGACGUAUACGGUGUGACGCCUGCCCGGUGCUGGAAGGUUAAUUGAUGGGGUCAGCCGCAAGGCGAAGCUCUUGAUCGAAGCCCCAGUAAACGGCGGCCGUAACUAUAACGGUCCUAAGGUAGCGAAAUUCCUUGUCGGGUAAGUUCCGACCUGCACGAAUGGCGUAAUGAUGGCCAGGCUGUCUCCACCCGAGACUCAGUGAAAUUGAACUCGCUGUGAAGAUGCAGUGUACCCGCGGCAAGACGGAAAGACCCCGUGAACCUUUACUAUAGCUUGACACUGAACAUUGAGCCUUGAUGUGUAGGAUAGGUGGGAGGCCUUGAAGUGUGGACGCCAGUCUGCAUGGAGCCAACCUUGAAAUACCACCCUUUAAUGUUUGAUGUUCUAACUCGGCCCCAURAUCUGGGGUGAGGACAGUGUCUGGUGGGUAGUUUGACUGGGGCGGUCUCCUCCCAAAGAGUAACGGAGGAGCACGAAGGUUAGCUAAUCACGGUCGGACAUCGUGAGGUUAGUGCAAAGGCAUAAGCUAGCUUGACUGCGAGAGUGACGGCUCGAGCAGGUACGAAAGUAGGUCUUAGUGAUCCGGUGGUUCUGAAUGGAAGGGCCAUCGCUCAACGGAUAAAAGGUACUCCGGGGAUAACAGGCUGAUACCGCCCAAGAGUUCAUAUCGACGGCGGUGUUUGGCACCUCGAUGUCGGCUCAUCACAUCCUGGGGCUGAAGUAGGUCCCAAGGGUAUGGCUGUUCGCCAUUUAAAGUGGUACGCGAGCUGGGUUUAGAACGUCGUGAGACAGUUCGGUCCCUAUCUGCCGUGGGCGUUGGAAGAUUGAGAGGGGCUGCUCCUAGUACGAGAGGACCGGAGUGGACGAAUCACUGGUGUUCGGGUUGUCAUGCCAAUGGCAUUGCCCGGUAGCUAAAUUCGGAAGAGAUAACCGCUGAAAGCAUCUAAGCGGGAAACUUGCCUCGAGAUGAGUCUUCCCUGGGRCUUWAAGYCCCCUGAAGGAACGUUAAAGACUAUGACGUUGA